Mesocricetus auratus (golden hamster) is the source of this 155-nucleotide ribosomal RNA. It matches the Rfam family "5.8S ribosomal RNA". From Rfam's summary of the family: 5.8S ribosomal RNA (5.8S rRNA) is a component of the large subunit of the eukaryotic ribosome. It is transcribed by RNA polymerase I as part of the 45S precursor that also contains 18S and 28S rRNA. The record is from Ensembl. Lineage: Eukaryota; Metazoa; Chordata; Mammalia; Rodentia; Cricetidae.
GACUCUUAGCGGUGGAUCACUCGGUGUGCAUUGAUGAAGAACGCAACUAGCUGCGAGAAUUAAUGUGAAUUGUAGUUAUAUAUUUAUUAUGAAAUAGCUUGUAGCAAAUAUUAUAUUUAAAAUCUGAAUUUUCAAAUAACAUACAUACACACACU